This 77-nucleotide transfer RNA is filed under the name Candidatus Peregrinibacteria bacterium. Its description in RNAcentral is "tRNA-Pro". It matches the Rfam family "tRNA". Rfam says of the family: Transfer RNA (tRNA) molecules are approximately 80 nucleotides in length. Their secondary structure includes four short double-helical elements and three loops (D, anti-codon, and T loops). Further hydrogen bonds mediate the characteristic L-shaped molecular structure. tRNAs have two regions of fundamental functional importance: the anti-codon, which is responsible for specific mRNA codon recognition, and the 3' end, to which the tRNAs corresponding amino acid is attached (by aminoacyl-tRNA synthetases). tRNAs cope with the degeneracy of the genetic code in two manners: having more than one tRNA (with a specific anti-codon) for a particular amino acid; and 'wobble' base-pairing, i.e. permitting non-standard base-pairing at the 3rd anti-codon position. RNAcentral also lists the same sequence under 2 other names. Lineage: Bacteria; Candidatus Peregrinibacteriota. The record is from RNAcentral.
CGGGACGUAGCUCAGUUGGCUAGAGCGCCUGCUUUGGGAGCAGGAGGUCGCGAGUUCGAGUCCCGCCGUCCCGACCA